GGUCGAAAGAGGAAAUUCAUUCGCGUUUCGAUCGUCGAAGUUGAACGUUUGUAUGACGGAUGAUGUGUUUCGGCGCAUGAGUCCGCAUCUUAUGUUCUUCGAAUCGAUGUCGAACGCGUGCACUUUUCCUCUAGUAGGACGUCGUGAUCCGUUGGGUGUCUGUCUAAGACUCGUGGUGGAGACCACGUGAUUUUUUGAUUAUGUGGACCCUCGAUGUUCCGACAGACUCGCUCGACGGUAUAAAUAUGGCGCGGGGCCGCUACUUUAGUUAGCGUUCGGCCCGUAGCAAGCACGUUUCGUGUUUGACGGCGAUCGGACCUAGUGCCGAUUCUGUCCCGGAACGACUGUUGGUUACGGUGUUCUCGAACAGACCUCG
This 376-nucleotide ribosomal RNA is filed under the name Pseudadimonia sp. BMNH 846586. Its description in RNAcentral is "partial 28S ribosomal RNA". Lineage: Eukaryota; Metazoa; Arthropoda; Insecta; Coleoptera; Chrysomelidae. The record is from RNAcentral.